Physeter macrocephalus (sperm whale) is the source of this 474-nucleotide long non-coding RNA. RefSeq lists it as uncharacterized. Lineage: Eukaryota; Metazoa; Chordata; Mammalia; Artiodactyla; Physeteridae. The record is from RefSeq and is a predicted model, not a curated record. The transcript is spliced from 3 exons.
GCCGGCCUGACAUGCGCAGUGCGCGGGGGCUGCGGCGGCCGGGAGGUGCCGCGGUCCUGGGCACACCUGGCGGCCUGGGACGCGGAGGAAUUCUUACAAAGUGUGGGGCGAGGAAGCCCAUCGGUAGUUUCCUAGUGUGAUGAAAUGACUUUGGAAAUUACCCUUAACAGCGGAUGGAGCUGACAUCGUGAGUUUUCUCUCCCAAGGACGCAAGGCGCAGAAGCCGCUGGGGAAGAGGACAGUCCAGAGUCUGCUGGGUUGACACGGGGUGAAAACGUAAUUGAAGAUCUUGAAAAAUGGGAUUGUUUUUGCUUUGAGGGAAGCAGCGUCGCACGCUGUGGGAAGCUUGGCGCCCCAGGCCCACCUCGAGUGUGGGGCGGGGAGAGAGGUCUUUGUGGUCUUGUGGUAUGCUUUUCAUACGUUCAGAAUCUGAUUUUCAUUAAAAUGGCAAGAUCAGUGCUGUCAAAUUAGGAA